Cherax quadricarinatus is the source of this 419-nucleotide long non-coding RNA. RefSeq lists it as uncharacterized. NCBI's taxonomy places the organism in Eukaryota, Metazoa, Arthropoda, Malacostraca, Decapoda, Parastacidae. The record is from RefSeq and is a predicted model, not a curated record.
UUGCCUGACUGCACCCAAAACACACACACACCUGGGUUGGCGAAGGUGGUUGGGAGGUACUUCUUAAUUGAUAGAUUUACCCUUCAAUGAAGAGAUGAGUGUGGUGUUGGUGUUGGGUUCUGGUGGUAGGGAGGAUGCUCUAGCUGCUGCCCUGGCUGCCUCUCCUGCAGUGUCAUCUGUCCUCAUUGCCCUGGGUAAUGCUGGCACUUAAACCACUCCCAAUGCCACCAACAUUUCCCUCAACAUCAAGGAUCACCAAGCAGUUGUUGGUGUAUGCAAUGAUUGUAAAGUCAGUGUGGUGGUCAUAGGGCCAGAGGACCCUCUGGCAGAUGGUCUGGCCAACUCACUUACUGCUACAGGAAUUAAGGUUAGGCUUAAGUUUAGGAAGCUAAAUACUAAGCAAAUUCUUUAUAAUCCAU